GGGGUUGUGGCUCAAUGGUAGAGCACUGGCCUAGCAUACAUGAGGCACUGGGUUCGAUCCCCAGCACCA
This 69-nucleotide transfer RNA is filed under the name Ictidomys tridecemlineatus (thirteen-lined ground squirrel). RNAcentral describes it as "Spermophilus tridecemlineatus (thirteen-lined ground squirrel) tRNA". It matches the Rfam family "tRNA". Rfam says of the family: Transfer RNA (tRNA) molecules are approximately 80 nucleotides in length. Their secondary structure includes four short double-helical elements and three loops (D, anti-codon, and T loops). Lineage: Eukaryota; Metazoa; Chordata; Mammalia; Rodentia; Sciuridae. The record is from Rfam by way of RNAcentral.